RNAcentral lists this ribosomal RNA (402 nucleotides) under Fusobacteriota bacterium. Its description in RNAcentral is "Fusobacteria bacterium partial 16S ribosomal RNA". It matches the Rfam family "Bacterial small subunit ribosomal RNA", at positions 355 to 776 of the family's 1533-position model. Lineage: Bacteria; Fusobacteriati; Fusobacteriota. The record is from RNAcentral.
UGGGGAAUAUUGCACAAUGGAGGGAACUCUGAUGCAGCGACGCCGCGUGAUUUAGAAGGCCUUCGGGUUGUAAAAAUCUUUUCUAUGGGAAGAAAAUGACAGUACCAUAGGAAUAAGGACCGGCUAAUUACGUGCCAGCAGCCGCGGUAAUACGUAAGGUCCGAGCGUUGUCCGGAAUCAUUGGGCGUAAAGGGUACGUAGGCGGGUAAGCAAGUUAGAAGUGAAAUCCUAUAGCUCAACUAUAGUAAGCUUUUAAAACUGCUCAUCUUGAGGUAUGGAAGGGAAAGUGGAAUUCCUAGUGUAGCGGUGAAAUGCGCAGAUAUUAGGAGGAAUACCGGUGGCGAAGGCGACUUUCUGGCCAUAACCUGACGCUGAGGUACGAAAGCGUGGGUAGCAAACAGG